GUCUGGGGGGUGAAGAGAAGAGAGUCUGCUGUAAACUGAGCGCACAGACUAGUGGAUUUAUCCCCUGAAGAUGCUGAAAGACAGAGGCAAUCCCAUGUACCUACGAGGGAAGGAUGGCCAGCCACACAGGAGGGUGCUUUUUUAUUAAGGAGGCUGUGCUGACCGAAAGCAUUUGGCCAAUUCAGAAUGAAGCGCAUGAUUGCCAAAACAAACCUACGCUUCUUCUGGAGUGGGCUUGUCAAGGAUGUGGACAGCUUGGCAAGUGAAAUAACCUUUUGUUUAUCAAUCACAUUCUAUUAUAUCUGAAAUGAUUAGGAUUUCAAUGAAUGUCAUAUCAGAGAGCACACGGUGUUUCAAUGUGACUUUGUGCUAAAAGGUCAGUACUUGUCUAGCCUGCCAGAAGUUAAGUUUGAGAGGUUGAAGACUGUUGCGCCAGAGUUGAAGCCCAUCAAAGUUGUUUCACCAUGAUCGGGGUGGACUUCAUCGGACCCUUCACUAAAUCCAGGAAUGGAAACCGCUAGUGUCUGACGGUGACCAAUCACUUUACCAAGUGGGUGGAAGCAAUAUCCAUUAAGGACAAGACUGGCGAGGCCACCUCCCAAGGUGAUGGUCAUCUUCAACACCCACAGUUCUCCUGAGGCCAUCUUGAGUAAAACAAGGUUUUGGAUGAACGGACCAACCAGACCCUCAAGACUGCCAUGGGCAAGUCCCUGGACAGGUACCAGGAACGGUGAGAGGACAACCUAAUUCUCUUUGCACACAACAGCAGCGUCCAGGCCUCCACAGAGUGGAGGAGAAACAGAAGAGCAACUGGAGGAGAUUCAAGAAGGGGACCAAGUGCCUUGACAUCCGGGUAAAUAACUUGGUUUGGUAGAAGGACGAAAGGAAGGCGAGACCUGGGAAACCUCGCUUUCGCUCCUAGCUGGGGUCACCAUCUGUUAAGGGUUAACUCGGCGGAAGCCAGCAAUCUUCUCCAGUUGGAGUGGAUGGAUGCACCACCACUGAAAGCCCUGACACCCUACACUUCGGCGAAGCCCAUGAGACAAAACAUGUUAAGCUUUGCUUGACAUUUGAGAAAGCUUAUAAAAAUGUCACUCCUUAAUUUACCUCUCCAAAUGACUUUAGGGCAAUCGAUUAUCAAUACCCAGGAGGUAUCUCAACCAACAGAGCCAUUUAGUUUGUAUCAGUCUGAUUCUCUGUGCUCUGAGUAGGCGGGGUAACCAGCUUGAGGUAGGAUAUACCUUCAAAAAGGGUUCAAGAUUACACAUCUUCCAUUUGUAACACUGCACUAAUCCAUGACAUUAAAUGUAACCUGUGUGUUUGCUUGUUUAUGUCUCUGUCUCCUACUCUGUUCCUUUUACUCUGCUCCUGUUCUCCAGGACCUAGGGGUUCUGCCUAACAACCAGACGUGGAUCCAACUGAUAUGCUUCAUUAUCAACCACUCUACAACUUUUCAUUACAUCUACAGCGACCGUUGUCAUUACCUGCUAAGAAAGUUUUCUUGCUCCAUCAUACUGGGCACAUAAUAUGUGAGAUACACAGAUUAACUCAAAACACUAGCACUGCAAACACUCAGUGCCUGGACUUUGUAGUCUCCCUCUUCAAGUCCCCCUUCUGAGACUGGAUGCCUGUUGAGAACAAGUGACAGGCAGAACCUCCCACUCACACAGCACCCACCUCCUCUCUAUUCCACACACCAGAAUUCACUAUUUCAGUCUAUGACUGCCAUGUGAGUGUUCCAAACAAAUGUGGUGAAAAUAAAUGAAUGACAGCUGUACCCAACAAA
Long non-coding RNA from Oncorhynchus nerka (sockeye salmon), 1786 nucleotides. RefSeq lists it as uncharacterized. Lineage: Eukaryota; Metazoa; Chordata; Actinopteri; Salmoniformes; Salmonidae. The transcript is spliced from 6 exons. The record is from RefSeq and is a predicted model, not a curated record.